UGGGGAAUUUUGGACAAUGGACGCAAGUCUGAUCCAGCCGUGCCGCGUGCGGGAAGAAGGCCUUCGGGUUGUAAACCGCUUUUGUCAGGGAAGAAACGAGUUUCUCUAAUACAGAGACUUAAUGACGGUACCUGAAGAAUAAGCACCGGCUAACUACGUGCCAGCAGCCGCGGUAAUACGUAGGGUGCGAGCGUUAAUCGGAAUUACUGGGCGUAAAGCGUGCGCAGGCGGUUAUGUAAGACAGAUGUGAAAUCCCCGGGCUCAACCUGGGAACUGCGUUUGUGACUGCAUAGCUGGAGUGCGGCAGAGGGGGAUGGAAUUCCGCGUGUAGCAGUGAAAUGCGUAGAGAUGCGGAGGAACACCGAUGGCGAAGGCAAUCCCCUGGGCCUGCACUGACGCUCAAGCACGAAAGCGUGGGGAGCAAACA
Molecule: ribosomal RNA, 427 nt
Filed under: uncultured bacterium
Lineage: Bacteria
Description: bacterial SSU rRNA
Rfam family: Bacterial small subunit ribosomal RNA
Source: RNAcentral